UACGUAGGGUGCGAGCGUUGUCCGGAAUUAUUGGGCGUAAAGAGCUCGUAGGCGGUUUGUCGCGUCGUUCGUGAAAACUCCACGCUUAACGUGGAGCGUGCGGGCGAUACGGGCAGACUUGAGUUCGGUAGGGGAGACUGGAAUUCCUGGUGUAGCGGUGAAAUGCGCAGAUAUCAGGAGGAACACCGGUGGCGAAGGCGGGUCUCUGGGCCGAUACUGACGCUGAGGAG
This 230-nucleotide ribosomal RNA is filed under the name uncultured microorganism. Its description in RNAcentral is "partial 16S ribosomal RNA". It matches the Rfam family "Bacterial small subunit ribosomal RNA", at positions 524 to 753 of the family's 1533-position model. The record is from RNAcentral.